AACGAACGCUGGCGGCAUGCCUAACACAUGCAAGUCGAACGAAGGCUUCGGCCUUAGUGGCGCACGGGUGCGUAACGCGUGGGAAUCUGCCCUUUGGUUCGGAAUAACAGCUGGAAACGGCUGCUAAUACCGGAUGAUGACGAAAGUCCAAAGAUUUAUCGCCAGAGGAUGAGCCCGCGUUGGAUUAGGUAGUUGGUGGGGUAAAGGCCUACCAAGCCGACGAUCCAUAGCUGGUCUGAGAGGAUGAUCAGCCACACUGGGACUGAGACACGGCCCAGACUCCUACGGGAGGCAGCAGUGGGGAAUAUUGGACAUUGGGCGCAAGCCUGAUCCAGCAAUGCCGCGUGAGUGAUGAAGGCCCUAGGGUUGUAAAGCUCUUUUACCCGGGAAGAUAAUGACUGUACCGGGAGAAUAAGCCCCGGCUAACUCCGUG
RNAcentral lists this ribosomal RNA (433 nucleotides) under uncultured bacterium. RNAcentral's name for it is "partial 16S ribosomal RNA". It matches the Rfam family "Bacterial small subunit ribosomal RNA", at positions 29 to 507 of the family's 1533-position model. The record is from RNAcentral.